This 577-nucleotide ribosomal RNA is filed under the name uncultured Lachnospiraceae bacterium. Its description in RNAcentral is "bacterial SSU rRNA". It matches the Rfam family "Bacterial small subunit ribosomal RNA", at positions 76 to 673 of the family's 1533-position model. The record is from RNAcentral. Lineage: Bacteria; Bacillati; Bacillota; Clostridia; Lachnospirales; Lachnospiraceae.
GAUUUGAUCUAUUUCUAGUGGCGGACGGGUGAGUAACGCGUGGGUAACCUGCCUUAUACAGGGGGAUAACAGUCAGAAAUGGCUGCUAAUACCGCAUAAGCGCGCAGAGCUGCAUGGCUCAGUGUGAAAAACUCCGGUGGUAUAAGAUGGACCCGCGUUGGAUUAGCUGGUUGGUGGGGUAACGGCCCACCAAGGCGACGAUCCAUAGCCGGCCUGAGAGGGUGAACGGCCACAUUGGGACUGAGACACGGCCCAGACUCCUACGGGAGGCAGCAGUGGGGAAUAUUGCACAAUGGGGGAAACCCUGAUGCAGCGACGCCGCGUGAAGGAAGAAGUAUCUCGGUAUGUAAACUUCUAUCAGCAGGGAAGAUAGUGACGGUACCUGACUAAGAAGCCCCGGCUAACUACGUGCCAGCAGCCGCGGUAAUACGUAGGGGGCAAGCGUUAUCCGGAUUUACUGGGUGUAAAGGGAGCGUAGACGGUGUGGCAAGUCUGAUGUGAAAGGCAUGGGCUCAACCUGUGGACUGCAUUGGAAACUGUCAUACUUGAGUGCCGGAGGGGUAAGCGGAAUUCCUAG